UCAAACUCAUCAUGAACUUGAUAUGUUAGCAUGAAUCCACACACACACGUCAAGUAUGCACUUAACAGGUAAAGGUUGAUGUCAUUUUGCACUGAUAAAUUUUCAUAAAAUCAAUUACUUAGUCCAAUCCUGAGCCAAGGCAAGGUGUUAAGCCAUGUUUGUUCAGAAUUAUAUCACUAUCUUGUUUGAGGACAAACAAUAGUUCAAGUUUGGG
Molecule: long non-coding RNA, 214 nt
Filed under: Olea europaea (common olive)
Lineage: Eukaryota; Viridiplantae; Streptophyta; Magnoliopsida; Lamiales; Oleaceae
Description: long non-coding RNA (OEUR_LNC014699)
Source: RNAcentral